GGUCGAUUAGCUCAGUUGGUUAGAGCGUGGUGCUAAUAACGCCAAGGUGAGUCACCUCACUUAUUGUUAAGUGACCUAUCUAACAUUCCUUAGGCCGAGGGUUCGACCCCCUCAUUGACCA
Molecule: non-coding RNA, 121 nt
Organism: Massariosphaeria phaeospora
Lineage: Eukaryota; Fungi; Ascomycota; Dothideomycetes; Pleosporales
Source: the annotation of a GenBank genome assembly